Molecule: ribosomal RNA, 329 nt
Filed under: uncultured eukaryote
Lineage: Eukaryota
Description: partial 18S ribosomal RNA
Rfam family: Eukaryotic small subunit ribosomal RNA
Source: RNAcentral
CCCUUAGAUGUUCUGGGCUGCACGCGCGCUACACUGAUGCGUUCAACGAGUUUAUGACCUUGCCCGAUAGGGUUGGGUAAUCUUUUUAAAUCGCAUCGUGAUGGGGAUAGAUUAUUGCAAUUAUUAAUCUUCAACGAGGAAUGCCUAGUAAGCGCAAGUCAUCAGCUUGCGUUGAUUACGUCCCUGCCCUUUGUACACACCGCCCGUCGCUCCUACCGAUUGAAUGGUCCGGUGAAGCGUUCGGACCGUGGCCUUUGGACGGUUCGCCGUCUGUUGGCUGCGGGAAGUUCGUUAAACCUUAUCAUUUAGAGGAAGGAGAAGUCGUAACA